GAGCCGCUAGCUCAGUCGGUAGAGCACCUGACUUUUAAUCAGGUGGUCGCCAGUUCGACCCUGGCGCGGCUCACCA
RNAcentral lists this transfer RNA (76 nucleotides) under Desulfuromonadales bacterium. Its description in RNAcentral is "tRNA-Lys". It matches the Rfam family "tRNA". Rfam says of the family: Transfer RNA (tRNA) molecules are approximately 80 nucleotides in length. Their secondary structure includes four short double-helical elements and three loops (D, anti-codon, and T loops). Further hydrogen bonds mediate the characteristic L-shaped molecular structure. tRNAs have two regions of fundamental functional importance: the anti-codon, which is responsible for specific mRNA codon recognition, and the 3' end, to which the tRNAs corresponding amino acid is attached (by aminoacyl-tRNA synthetases). tRNAs cope with the degeneracy of the genetic code in two manners: having more than one tRNA (with a specific anti-codon) for a particular amino acid; and 'wobble' base-pairing, i.e. permitting non-standard base-pairing at the 3rd anti-codon position. The record is from RNAcentral. Lineage: Bacteria; Pseudomonadati; Thermodesulfobacteriota; Desulfuromonadia; Desulfuromonadales.